AGGUCCUGACUGCCAGUGAACCAGGCAAUGAUUCACAGGUGGAGAGAUAGUCUGGGCAGCACCAAGCCGACAACUAUUAUGAUUAUGAGUAGGGAUGAUUAUCGAGAACAGACAUAACUGCAUAUCAUCCAAACCAUCUCUAAAUGAAUGGCUGCAAGGAUCCAGGAUCAAGAGAUCAUCCAUCAUGAAAACUGUGUUUCAUAGGAAUCAGUGAAUCCUGGGCCUGCCUGACCAUUCUGU
This is a long non-coding RNA of Labeo rohita (rohu), 240 nucleotides long. RefSeq lists it as uncharacterized. The transcript is spliced from 4 exons. The record is from RefSeq and is a predicted model, not a curated record. Lineage: Eukaryota; Metazoa; Chordata; Actinopteri; Cypriniformes; Cyprinidae.